AUCAGGUAGGGAUACCCGCUGAACUUAAGCAUAUCAAUAAGCGGAGGAAAAGAAACCAACAGGGAUUGCCUCAGUAACGGCGAGUGAAGCGGCAACAGCUCAAAUUUGAAAUCUGGCUCUUUUAGGGUCCGAGUUGUAAUUUGUAGAAGAUGCUUCGAGUGUGGCUCCGGUCUAAGUUCCUUGGAACAGGACGUCAUAGAGGGUGAGAAUCCCGUAUGUGACUGGUUGCCUUCGCUCAUGUGAAGCUCUUUCGACGAGUCGAGUUGUUUGGGAAUGCAGCUCAAAAUGGGUGGUAAAUUUCAUCUAAAGCUAAAUAUUGGCCAGAGACCGAUAGCGCACAAGUAGAGUGAUCGAAAGAUGAAAAGCACUUUGGAAAGAGAGUUAAACAGUACGUGAAAUUGUUGAAAGGGAAGCGCUUGCAACCAGACUUGCACGCAGUUGAUCAUCCGGUGUUCUCACCGGUGCACUCUGCUGCGUUCAGGCCAGCAUCGGUUUGGUGGUUGGAUAGAG
This 510-nucleotide ribosomal RNA is filed under the name salal root associated fungus UBCtraSeq1.1A. Its description in RNAcentral is "eukaryotic LSU rRNA". It matches the Rfam family "Eukaryotic large subunit ribosomal RNA", at positions 10 to 523 of the family's 3401-position model. Lineage: Eukaryota; Fungi; Ascomycota. The record is from RNAcentral.